Molecule: ribosomal RNA, 803 nt
Filed under: uncultured bacterium
Lineage: Bacteria
Description: bacterial SSU rRNA
Rfam family: Bacterial small subunit ribosomal RNA
Source: RNAcentral
AGAGUUUGAUCCUGGCUCAGGAUGAACGCUGGCGGCGUGCUUAACACAUGCAAGUCGAACGGGAAAUAUUUCAUUGAGACUUCGGUGGAUUUGAUCUAUUUCUAGUGGCGGACGGGUGAGUAACGCGUGGGUAACCUGCCUUAUACAGGGGGAUAACAGUCAGAAAUGGCUGCUAAUACCGCAUAAGCGCACAGAGCUGCAUGGCUCAGUGUGAAAAACUCCGGUGGUAUAAGAUGGACCCGCGUUGGAUUAGCUUGUUGGCAGGGUAACGGCCUACCAAGGCGACGAUCCUUAGCCGGCCUGAGAGGGUGAACGGCCACAUUGGGACUGAGACACGGCCCAGACUCCUACGGGAGGCAGCAGUGGGGAAUAUUGCACAAUGGGGGAAACCCUGAUGCAGCGACGCCGCGUGAAGGAAGAAGUAUCUCGGUAUGUAAACUUCUAUCAGCAGGGAAGAUAGUGACGGUACCUGACUAAGAAGCCCCGGCUAACUACGUGCCAGCAGCCGCGGUAAUACGUAGGGGGCAAGCGUUAUCCGGAUUUACUGGGUGUAAAGGGAGCGUAGACGGUGUGACAAGUCUGAUGUGAAAGGCAUGGGCUCAACCUGUGGACUGCAUUGGAAACUGUCAUACUUGAGUGCCGGAGGGGUAAGCGGAAUUCCUAGUGUAGCGGUGAAAUGCGUAGAUAUUAGGAGGAACACCAGUGGCGAAGGCGGCUUACUGGACGGUAACUGACGUUGAGGCUCGAAAGCGUGGGGAGCAAACCAGGAUUAGAUACCCUGGUAGUCCACGCCGUAAACGAUG